GAAAAAGUUACCACAAAAUCACCACAAAAGUAGGCUUAAACCAUAAAAGUUUAAUUAUGUUGACCACUAAUUUAAUUUAACCCUUAGAAGCCCAGAUCAUGACCAACCGACAACCACAAAAACAGACAAUUUAGGACGAAAACGAUAGACCAAUUUUCCCUUGAAAAAGGCCACAUCCCAUGGCCGAAACGUCGGGCAGAUUAAAAUAAAUCGUUUGAUUUUGUAAGACUGAGAGUGCCAAAUUCCUCCGA
Molecule: long non-coding RNA, 251 nt
Organism: Aedes albopictus (Asian tiger mosquito)
Lineage: Eukaryota; Metazoa; Arthropoda; Insecta; Diptera; Culicidae
Exons: 2
Source: RefSeq, a predicted model, not a curated record